UGUCCCUCCCGCUCGGUUCCUAUGGACGAGGCGGAGCCGCCGCAGGGCUGCACGAAAGCGGCCUCAUACCUUUCCCGAGGGGUCACCCACCACCACCGGGCUCGCACCUCUCGUGCUGUUAUUCACGGCAUCCUACCGACAGAUGUUUGCAAAACCCCGUUUUCCCACUGCUGCCCCGGGAACCGAGGGAAAAAAUCAGUGACAGCUACAUGAGUUAAAAGCACGGAAUAAGGGGGAAAGUUUAUGGCUCUCCCCCUUCGCAGCCAACGGAGUCAGACGUUCAUGUAAACACUUGUGAAUCUUAUUGGGAGGAAGUUUUCAGGGGGCAAGAAAUGGGCAGCAAAAAGUCUGCCUAAUGCCAACCGCUUCUUUGUGGAGACCAACGAGAUUCCCUUUGUUAUAACAGGGAACGCGUCCGCUGCUGUGAGCCCGGGCUGUGGGUCGGGGCUCCGGGGGAGGGUUUAAACCAGAAGAGCCAUGGAAAGGUGUGUGUGUGCUCAGCACCGGGCAACUCCGACUGCACGGCGUGAUUUUCCUCUCGGUGCCUUCAGAGAAACAGCCCUCUUCCUCGGAAGGCAAUAGAAAUGUCACCGGGCAUCAUCGGCACCGACGCCUGGACAUCAUGGGGGGAGCACUGACUUAAUAUUCCACAAAAGAGCGUGGCUGAAGACUCAAUACUCUCUCGACCCUCUCCCCUCGUUCCGUCAGCUCUUCUUCUUGCUGCUGCUUCAUCAGAUCACUCUCCCAGAACUCAGCGACAGAAAGGACCCAACAGAUCGAGGGAUGUGCACACGAAGUUUCCCCUUGUCGUCGCAGCACAGCUUUUUAAGCGCCCCAGGUGCUGCGGGCUCCUCGCAAAGCCUCGCUGCGCUGUGAUGGAUCUCGGGCUCUGAUCAAAUCCUGCUGUUCCUCGCUACGCAGGAAGUCUUUCCAAAUUAGUCUAACACCAGGGCCGAGCACUGUGACUAAUAGGCAUAACUGCACAGUUCACGCUAUCUGUAGGGCAGGUUCAGCAGGGGAAACGGCGGCACCAGGAAUGUGCUGCUGCCCGGAGUCAGGCGAACUCUUCGAGACAAAGAUCAGGGGAAUUAUCGGAGAGGCGAAACAAUCUCAGCAUAAAUAAUGGUGCAGCCUUACGUUGCUCGGGAGGCAGUUCGUCACUAACGGCUCUGGAUUCACUGAAGGAAGAAGAAAGAGGGCAUACAGCAGCCCUCGGGGCAGGCAGCCACGCCUCGGGAUCCCACGGGCUGGGGCUGAGCGGAAGGGCUGUGACCCACAGCGUUAAUUGCAGUCCACGUGGAGCUGAGAGCGUUCUGUUCAGCACCGGUCAUCAGAUCUCGUCCUACUUUACCUUCAGUUGUGUCCAAUGAUUUGUGUCUGACAAAAGCACGUUUUUCAGGAAAUUAGAAAAAAAAAAAAUCAAUAACUGGAUUUGCCACUUCCCUGGGCAGAAUCUUACAAAUGAGUGCUUUCCUUUACAUGUGAAUCUGUCCAGCCUCAUCCUGCCGUUAUUUGUUCAGGCUGUGCCUUUCCUUAUCGUUUUAAAAAGAGCCUCCACACCUCACUUUACAGCUCGUGGGGUAUUUCACGUUGUAAUCCAGUCCCUUAAGAAAGGAUACGCUUCCAGAGAGCCUUGUGUGGCAGUCCGGGGUUUCAAACGUAUGGGGUGGAGGUCAGGGGCUCUCCUCCACGCUCUUCAAAAUGUCAGUGUCCCUUUGAAAAAAGUCUGAGUGUGACAAGGCAUCGUAACCCUGCCUGGACACGGAGAUGAGGGGAAGGAUGGGAGGAAGAGGGGUGAUCUGGGCAGCUGGGAGAGGGAGCCCAGGAGUCACAAUUUGGUAUUGGCUGAAGACAAAACUUUAUUUUGUCAGAUGCACGCAAUUCGCAGUUACCUUUUUGAAUAUAUAUUGCUGGGAAGCUUCCCCU
Molecule: long non-coding RNA, 1926 nt
Filed under: Gallus gallus (chicken)
Lineage: Eukaryota; Metazoa; Chordata; Aves; Galliformes; Phasianidae
Description: lncRNA (ENSGALG00010006618.1)
Source: RNAcentral